Molecule: microRNA precursor, 128 nt
Filed under: Physcomitrium patens
Lineage: Eukaryota; Viridiplantae; Streptophyta; Bryopsida; Funariales; Funariaceae
Description: Physcomitrella patens miR1037 stem-loop (ppt-MIR1037)
Source: miRBase by way of RNAcentral
GUUACUAACCUAAUGCUUGCAAAAGCGGCAGCCAUCAAAUCCUAAUAAGGCUGACUCAACUACAACCUAGUUGCUUCAGCCUUAUUAGGAUUUGAUGGCUGCCACUAUUGCUACAACCUAGUUGCUGC